Non-coding RNA from Tephrocybe rancida, 106 nucleotides. The record is from the annotation of a GenBank genome assembly. Lineage: Eukaryota; Fungi; Basidiomycota; Agaricomycetes; Agaricales; Lyophyllaceae.
GGUGAGAUUGCCGAGCGGUCUAAGGCAACAGACUGGGGUAUCAUACCACUCAAGCACUACUAAUCUGGUCUCUUCGGGCGCGGGAGUUUGAAUCUCCCACUCAUUA